Molecule: ribosomal RNA, 860 nt
Filed under: Pseudophialophora eragrostis
Lineage: Eukaryota; Fungi; Ascomycota; Sordariomycetes; Magnaporthales; Magnaporthaceae
Description: eukaryotic LSU rRNA
Rfam family: Eukaryotic large subunit ribosomal RNA
Source: RNAcentral
GAUUGCCCUAGUAACGGCGAGUGAAGCGGCAACAGCUCAAAUUUGAAAUCUGGCCCCCAGGCCCGAGUUGUAAUUUGUAGAGGAUGCUUUUGGUGACGCGCUUACCGAGUCCCCUGGAAUGGGGCGCCACAGAGGGUGAGAGCCCCGUAUGGUUUGCCGCCGAGCCUCUGUAAAGCUCCUUCGACGAGUCGAGUAGUUUGGGAAUGCUGCUCUAAAUGGGAGGUAAAUUUCUUCUAAAGCUAAAUACCGGCCAGAGACCGAUAGCGCACAAGUAGAGUGAUCGAAAGAUGAAAAGCACUUUGAAAAGAGGGUUAAAUAGCACGUGAAAUUGUUGAAAGGGAAGCGCUUGUGACCAGACUCGCGCCGGGCGGAUCAUCCAGCGUUCUCGCUGGUGCACUCCGCCCGGCUCGGGCCAGCAUCGGUUUUCGCCGGGGGACAAAAGCCUCGGGAACGUGGCCCCCUUCGGGGGGUGUUAUAGCCCGUGGCAGAAUACCCCGGCGGGGACCGAGGACCGCGCUUCGGCAAGGAUGCUGGCGUAAUGGUCAUCAGCGACCCGUCUUGAAACACGGACCGAGGAGUCAAGCAUUAGUGCGAGUGUUUGGGUGUAAAACCCGCACGCGUAAUGAAAGUGAACGUAGGUGAGAGCUUCGGCGCAUCAUCGACCGAUCCUGAAGUUUACGGAUGGAUUUGAGUAGGAGCAUUAACGCUUGGACCCGAAAGAUGGUGAACUAUACUUGAAUAGGGUGAAGCCAGAGGAAACUCUGGUGGAGGCUCGCAGCGGUUCUGACGUGCAAAUCGAUCGUCAAAUUUGAGUAUAGGGGCGAAAGACUAAUCGAACCAUCUAGUAGCUGGUUACCGCC